GACGAACGCUGGCGGCGUGCUUAACACAUGCAAGUCGAACGGAAAGGCCCUUCGGGGUCCUCGAGUGGCGAACGGGUGAGUAACACGUGGGUGAUCAGCCCUGCACUUUGGGAUAAGCCUGGGAAACUGGGUCUAAUACCGAAUAGGACCACGCGCUUCAUGGUGUGUGGUGGAAAGCUUUUGCGGUGUGGGAUGGGCCCGCGGCCUAUCAGCUUGUUGGUGGGGUAAUGGCCUACCAAGGCGACGACGGGUAGCCGGCCUGAGAGGGUGACCGGCCACACUGGGACUGAGAUACGGCCCAGACUCCUACGGGAGGCAGCAGUGGGGAAUAUUGCACAAUGGGCGCAAGCCUGAUGCAGCGACGCCGCGUGAGGGAUGACGGCCUUCGGGUUGUAAACCUCUUUCAAUAGGGACGAAGCGCAAGUGACGGUACCUAUAGAAGAAGCACCGGCCAACUACGUG
RNAcentral lists this ribosomal RNA (462 nucleotides) under uncultured bacterium. Its description in RNAcentral is "partial 16S ribosomal RNA". It matches the Rfam family "Bacterial small subunit ribosomal RNA", at positions 28 to 507 of the family's 1533-position model. The record is from RNAcentral.